GACGUAGGGCGCGAGCGUUGUCCGGAUUUAUUGGGCGUAAAGAGCUCGUAGGCGGCUUGUCGCGUCGACUGUGAAAUCCCCGGGGGCUCAACCCCCGGGCCUGCAUUCGAUACGGGCAGACUAGAGUUCGGUAGGGGAGUCUGGAAUUCCUGGUGUAGCGGUGAAAUGCGCAGAUAUCAGGAGGAACACCGGUGGCGAAGGCGGGACUCUGGGCCGAUACUGACGCUGAGGAGCGAAAGCGUGGGGAGCAAACAGG
RNAcentral lists this ribosomal RNA (256 nucleotides) under uncultured bacterium. RNAcentral describes it as "partial 16S ribosomal RNA". It matches the Rfam family "Bacterial small subunit ribosomal RNA", at positions 524 to 776 of the family's 1533-position model. The record is from RNAcentral.